RNAcentral lists this long non-coding RNA (940 nucleotides) under Eutrema salsugineum. RNAcentral describes it as "long non-coding RNA (ESAL_LNC001680)". Lineage: Eukaryota; Viridiplantae; Streptophyta; Magnoliopsida; Brassicales; Brassicaceae. The record is from RNAcentral.
CGUAAUCCGCCGAUACUCUCAACGCCACCGCCUGUCCUCCCUCUGGUCCAGCCGUGUUCUCAAUCCAGAUGUUCUUAGCUGUGAAAUGUUCGCCAUCGAUUGCUGCAAACACACAGAAUUUGGAAAAGGUUAAUUUGUAAUUUCAAGCAUCUCUCUUUGGUGGAGUGGAAAAUCGAAACUCACUGACGGUGGCUGUUAGGAAAGUUUUGACUUUUCCGAGACCGAAAUUGAGGCUGCCGGUGAUUUUGGUCUUGGUUGGUCCAUCACCGAUGAAAGUGACGUAAGGCAUUUUCUUGGUUACUAUUACUUUCUCCUUGUAGAUACCUUGUUUGAUGUGGAUGACGAAUGGUAGUCUAUUGUCUUUAGGCACAGCAUUUAGAGCAUCGGCGAUGGUCUUGAACUGGCCACUUCCGUCUUGAGCCACCACGGCAUUAGCCUUGACUGGUGGUCCUCCUCCUUGUGGUGCUGCCAUUAGCCGUCGUGCCUCUGGUCCAACCCAUGUUGGGAUACCAUCUUUUGUAGACAAGAGCUUUCUGGCGUAGUUUGCAAGAGUUCCGGUUAGUCCUGUUACCAAGACGCAAAUUACGAUCUUUUUUUUUUCCCAUUUGUUCAGAUUGAUUGGCAAUGGAUAUGUUGGAGAUAUCUACCUGUGAUGUUGGAGUUAGGGAGAAUGGUGGAGAGGUCAGUAACCAUGGCAAGGCUAUUGCUGCUAAGCUCUCUUGAUGUUUUGAAGAUUUUAAGCAUGUCUUGCAAAAGAUUCGACUUAAUUUCCUCAAAGGAAUCCAUACAGGUUUCCUGGAAUGCGAUGGAGCCACUUAGCCAAACCCGAAGAUCCUCAACAAAGCCGUCAAUCUUUGCAACUGAGAACCCGUGAUCAACACACUUUUGCAGAUCAUCAAUAGCGUCAGUCAUCAGCUUCUCACACAGCUCGAAAGCACCC